CCCCUAUCCCAUCCCUCCCCUCGUCUCCCACAUCACCGCCACCACCACCCCUAUCCCAUCCCUCCCCUCGUCUCCCUACCAGACCUUGCCGCCGCCGGCCUCCCCUCCUCUCCGCUUCCCUCCCACCUCAGGCGGAGCCCCCACCUAUCCAUCUCUCUCUAGCGACCCCUCUCUCUCCCCCAGGACUCAUCUUCGCCACUAGGGUUUGCGGUGGCUUUGCCCCAUGCUCGCCAUGGCUCUCCAGCAACCAGGACAACGAUGAUGUCGACGGGAUCCUACGGGCGCGUCCUCCUGCAGCCACUGGCGAACCUACCAUCCUCUAGGGUUUGAGCCACCGCGUCGCCGACGUGGCUCCGACGUUGUUCCGAUCCGUCAUCGCUCGAGGAACGAAAGGCCAUGGACGGGAUGGCCACUUCCUCCCCUGCUCCGACGCCAUGGAGGCCACCUUCUCGCUGCAGCGUCUCUUGCUGUCGAGUCUCUCUGUGGUGGUCUGGUGGCUGUGAUCUCUACCCGCCCCAAUGGAUUGGCCAGCGUUGGCGACUUGGCGUACACAAUGGAGGUGCUGCUGUUCUGCUACGCCAACCUCAUCCUACAGCCCUCCGUCGCCCCACUAGCAAGCUGCAAGGGGCACAAUGCUAGUAGGCAAGCUAGCACACAUGGAUUCGUGAACUGGCUUGGAUGUGUUCUUGGUCGUCUGGGUUGGAUGAGGACGAUGGAAACGAUGUCUUCCUCACCGGCGAUGGCAGGAGCGCAUGAUAGACUUCUAAAUGGACAAGUAUCUGCAACGUUCAGUGUCAAUGAUGAUGCUUACCAGAUAUUCUACUGUAGCCCCAUCCAUAUCAUCGACGUGAAGUCAGAUCUACUCGUCCUGAAAUUGAUGGCCUGAAGCUUGAUACACAUAUCAUGUGACACACAUUAGGAAAUUUGAAUAACAUCGACAUAGGUUCUCUGUUAUCUUGCACUGGGUUGAUACUUACCGGUUUCCCUUACAAAUAUAUUACAUAUUUUCUUUUAUGAGAAUUUUAUCUGCAUGGUUUCUUAUUAGAUCUCAAAUUCUGCAGCUAUUUUUCAUUGUUAGGAAAAUGUUAUAUGCACGGCUUCACUUGAUUAUGUUCCUAACUUUUCUGAUUUAUAACCUACAGAUGCCUUCAUUUGUCAAAAGUUGGUGUACAGGAACUCCAGGAGAAGAAUCCCAAAGAAAACAUGCACCCAGCAAUUUGUUCUAGCUCACUGGAGCAUCAUUUUGAAGUACCUAAUUUAUGGCUGAGCACCUGAUUUAUGGUUGAGUACCUGUUUUGUACUAUGCAUUAUUGUAAAGUACUUUGUUUGGCCAUUGUAUGAAAACACUAUGUGUUUUUGGCUCUUUUUGACUCGC
This 1375-nucleotide ribosomal RNA is filed under the name Triticum aestivum (bread wheat). Its description in RNAcentral is "partial small subunit ribosomal RNA". Lineage: Eukaryota; Viridiplantae; Streptophyta; Magnoliopsida; Poales; Poaceae. The record is from RNAcentral.